GGACCCGUGGCCUAGUCUGGAUAGGGCAUCGGCCUCCUAAGCCGAGGGUCCCCGGUUCAAAUCCGGGCGGGUCCGCCA
This 78-nucleotide transfer RNA is filed under the name Candidatus Bathyarchaeota archaeon. RNAcentral's name for it is "tRNA-Arg". It matches the Rfam family "tRNA". From Rfam's summary of the family: Transfer RNA (tRNA) molecules are approximately 80 nucleotides in length. Their secondary structure includes four short double-helical elements and three loops (D, anti-codon, and T loops). Further hydrogen bonds mediate the characteristic L-shaped molecular structure. tRNAs have two regions of fundamental functional importance: the anti-codon, which is responsible for specific mRNA codon recognition, and the 3' end, to which the tRNAs corresponding amino acid is attached (by aminoacyl-tRNA synthetases). tRNAs cope with the degeneracy of the genetic code in two manners: having more than one tRNA (with a specific anti-codon) for a particular amino acid; and 'wobble' base-pairing, i.e. permitting non-standard base-pairing at the 3rd anti-codon position. RNAcentral also lists the same sequence under 1 other name. Lineage: Archaea; Thermoproteati; Candidatus Bathyarchaeota. The record is from RNAcentral.